UAGGAAGAUGGCGUGGGUAAGCCUGUGACU
Molecule: non-coding RNA, 30 nt
Filed under: Mus musculus (house mouse)
Lineage: Eukaryota; Metazoa; Chordata; Mammalia; Rodentia; Muridae
Source: RNAcentral